CCUACGGGAGGCAGCAGUGGGGAAUAUUGGACAAUGGGCGAAAGCCUGAUCCAGCAACGCCGCGUGAGGGAUGACGGCCUUCGGGUUGUAAACCUCUUUCAGUAGGGACGAAGCGCAAGUGACGGUACCUACAGAAGAAGCACCGGCCAACUACGUGCCAGCAGCCGCGGUAAUACGUAGGGUGCGAGCGUUGUCCGGAAUUAUUGGGCGUAAAGGGCUCGUAGGCGGUUUGUCACGUCGGGAGUGAAAUCUCAGGGCUUAACCCUGAGCCUGCUUCCGAUACGGGCAGACUAGAGGUAUGCAGGGGAGAACGGAAUUCCUGGUGUAGCGGUGAAAUGCGCAGAUAUCAGGAGGAACACCGGUGGCGAAGGCGGUUCUCUGGGCAUUACCUGACGCUGAGGAGCGAAAGUGUGGGGAGCGAACAGGAUUAGAUACCCUGGUAGUCCACACCGUAAACGGUGGGCGCUAGGUGUGGGACUCAUUCCACGAGUUCCGUGCCGCAGCUAACGCAUUAAGCGCCCCGCCUGGGGAGUACGGCCGCAAGGCUAAAACUCAAAUGAAUUGACGG
Molecule: ribosomal RNA, 568 nt
Filed under: uncultured bacterium
Lineage: Bacteria
Description: bacterial SSU rRNA
Rfam family: Bacterial small subunit ribosomal RNA
Source: RNAcentral